Molecule: long non-coding RNA, 554 nt
Organism: Fundulus heteroclitus (mummichog)
Lineage: Eukaryota; Metazoa; Chordata; Actinopteri; Cyprinodontiformes; Fundulidae
Exons: 3
Source: RefSeq, a predicted model, not a curated record
UGACACUGGAUUAUCUAUACCUGUGUUGGGUAUGGGCAUGUCUGUGUUUUCUGUUCCUGUACAUAAGCUAAUGCUACAUUCGGGACUGUUUGAUGGGGAAGUAAGGAUGGGUGUUCGACCUGCGCUGCCUGUGGUUGGUGUCACAGUUAUACUUGGAAACAAUAUAGCUGGAGGGAAAGUAUGGCCUGGUCAACCGGAAUAUCCUGGUGUUCCAGUAUCUUUGAUCAACAGUGGUCUUGACGAAAAUAAAAACUCACACCCUGAAGUUGUUCAAGCAUGUGCAGUGACACGGGCAAUGAAAGCAGUCAGUGAUGUACAUCAGGAUGAAGAUUUUGGAAAAGUUAAACAGACGUCCGGUUUUUGUUUGUCUAACAUUCCUUUGUCUAUUUCACAGAAGGAUCUGGGGCAGGAGCAAAGAUCUGACCCCACAAUACAGCAUUUGUUUCAGUCUGCAGUACCUGAUGUUCCAUCCUGCACACACUUGAUUGAACAUGAUAUUGAGGUUGCCCAGGGUUCCGAGGGACCCUGUUUUGAAGGGGGGGAGUGUUACGGCC